CAGUCGCGUCGGCCGGGAAUCAGCUUCGCUCUUGCGUGGUGUACUUUCUGGUUGACGGGUCAGCAUCAAUUUUGACUGCUGGAAAAAGGCUUAGGGAAUGUGGCAGCUUCGGCUGUGUUAUAGCCCUUGGUCACAUACAGCGGUUGGGAUUGAGGAACUCAGCACGCCGCAAGGCCGGGUUUCGACCACGUUCGUGCUUAGGAUGGCUGGCAUAAUGGCUUUAAGCGACCCGUCUUGAGACACGGACCAAGGAGUCUAACAUAUGUGCGAGUGUUCUUGAAAGGAACGAUUGAAGUGAACUCUAACAUAUAUG
This 313-nucleotide ribosomal RNA is filed under the name Otospora bareae. The record is from RNAcentral. Lineage: Eukaryota; Fungi; Glomeromycota; Glomeromycetes; Diversisporales; Diversisporaceae.